UCUCUCUCUCUCUCUCUCUCUCUCUCUCUCUCUCAAUAAUAAAUACACAUUAAAAAAAUUUUUUUUAAAGGGGGGGUGUUUAAAAUGCAGUGAGGAGGCUAUUAAGGAGAUAGACCUUAUGCACAUCCUCAUUAAUGAAACCGUAAACUUUGAACUGGGCCAAAUUGCAAAGAUUCCAGACUCUGCCCAAAUGCCUGCAACUUUCUUCAGUUAGAGAUUUUGCUCAGUAAUAGACUUAGCAACCAACUAUAUUCAGCCAACGUUAGUUUUCUGCCACCAACACCAAUCACAAUUCUUUGUAAACACAUAUAAAUGUCUUUUAAAACCUUUGACUUUUGUUCCGUAAGGGAACUUGGGUUGCUGCCCAAGUCUGUGCUCCCUGAAUUACAGUUCUGAGACCCUGAAUACAUGCUUUUGUUUUAUUUCAUCUUUGCCUCUUGGUCCACAUGACAUCUCUCAAUAGAACAAGAAAGGAUUAUGAAUAAAAAGGAAAGAAGUAACAGAAAUUAGGAGUGACACUAAGUUAAAAGAUCAGUGGAGAGAAUAAAAAUACUAAAUCUGAGUAAAAUAGAUGUAGCUCUAGAACAAGAGUUGGCAAAUGUUUUCUGUAAAGGGCUAGAUGGUACAUAUUUUGGGCUUUGGGUGCCAUAUGGUCUCUGUCACAGUUACCUUGUCAUCGUAGCAUGUUAGUUUGCAAGCUCCUCGGGAUCUUCCCAGAUAUAAUCUGAGACUGGCCCCUGUACUAGGAGGGCAGGGAGAGACAGAAGAAACAGGCGGGUCACUCCAGGUUGGUAGGUGGCAGGUUUCAUGAGCAUGGGAUCUUACAUAUGAGGUUUGUCUUGGGUGGCCGCAAGGCGAGUAGAUCUCCACACCCACCUGCCAAAUCUUAAAAAUUUAUAUAGAGACCUUGACUGGGUUCAGUCCUGUGUACCGUCCAGAUGGUCUCAACAUCAAAUCACUAUCUCAAGGCUAUGUCAUUGACAAUGGUAAAUAACCUUACCUUAACAACAGCUAGCCCCUCAAGGCCCUGGAAACCUUGCUUCCAAAUUCCUUAGAGACUUAUGCUAUCCCUGACCCCCUUCCAACCUGAAGGUAUAUAAUCUGUCAUCCGUCACAACCCCAAUGCAGCUUUUUCUGCCCACGGGUCCUGUCCCCGUGCUUCAAUAAAACCCCCUUUUUGUACCAAAGACGUCUCAAGAAUUCUUUCUUGGCUGUCGGCUCUGAACCCCCACAUUUCCACAUCAUUUGGUGACCAUGAAGGGACUCAGUCUUCCCAUCUAGACUCUGAGCCUCAGUGCGAACUUGGGGCCCUGCUUUUCGUCGUCGUCUGUCAGACUGAUGGAGACUUCAGCUCGGCACCUGCUCACGGAGGCAGCACAGAGACGCAGCGGGACCAUGGCAGAAGGAGGACCCCCAGCUCCAGAUAAAGGAUGUUUCCAUCUCUCCCCACCAGGGACACAGCGGGGCGCUCCCGGGGGCGCUCCCGGGGCGCUCCCGGCAGACGUCCCAGCCGACUCAGCUGUGAUGCCACCCUCUGGACACAGGAAGACAGGGACAGCUGGAGGGCCAGUGGCUUAGCGCUGGGGCGCACGGACACCAGGAGCUGCAUUACCUUCCCCGCACGUGUACCGUUUCUCCUCAUAGGAUGUAUCCGUGAACUCCAGGAGCAUGCGGAUGGCGUGCGCCAGCUGAGGGAGAAAGCCCCUCCUCGGUCAGCGCCUGCGCGGCGCCCAGUUGACCACAACCCCCGCACGCCAACUGCCCCUUCCAAGGCUGUGGAGGCCGUGCAACCUGCCCAGGCGGUAGUUAAGCGGCACGUCCACCACCUUCUCCCCCACCCGCCCUCCCCGAGAUGGGCCAAGGCAGCUUGGUAUCUUCAGCCCUCUCCGCGGCCCGCGAUCCCAGAGGCGGGAUGGGGUCGGCCCCCGUGGUCCUGGAGCUCGGCUGGGGCAGGCUGCUCCGUGGAGAGAGACGCGGGGGCCCUGAGUAGACCCCUUUUCUAAGAGGCCUCUGACCCUGAGCCCCCGGCCGCCUCCACGACCAUCUCCCUGACCUAGUGGCUCUGCGGUCGAGACCGCACUCACCCCGCGAAUAUCCCAGUAACCCAGAACCAUGGUCGACUCGGACAACGACAUGCCGAUGCUUUCCCCGUGCCUUCGCGGGCUGGCGGUAAACUGCGAACGCACGGGGCUUUAUAGCCCACGUAAGUAGGCGGUGCCAACGCGAGCGCUCUGGCUCCGCCCCCACCCGUCGCCCUUCCCUCCAGCGAGUGUCCGCAAGCCGCGCGCGCGCGCCGUGCACCCUCUACACUUUCUGGGUUUGGAGGCUGGGCAGCGGAGGUGGCUGUUGGGUAUGGGGCUCUGCGCUCCCCCGCGGUGGAGUUGCUCUCACUUGGCUAGUAGUGCCGGUCAGGGCUGGAGGAGCAACAACGCAAGCGGUGAGGGCCCUGGUUAGUCCUGGAGAGUGAGUUUCAUGUCCUAUUUCUCCAGCAGCAGUCGGUGGGUGGGGAGGUAAAGGAGGUGAACAAACCCCAAGAGGUGAUCAAGGAAAUAUUCAACUUUUAAUGUGUGUGGGCUCUGCUCCUGGGCUCCCAGGGCAGCUCUACUUUUACCAAGGUCAGAAUGACUUCACCAAACUUCAAAGUGUGGGCUCUAUUUCUACCCUGAGCACACAUUGCACAUCUACUUCAUUAGUAAAUAACCCAAAAGAAAUAUUUCAAAGAUAAGAAUAAAAACCUCCCUAAAUUCUGUUCUCAUACCUCCGAAGCCUGCAACCUUGACAUACUAAAAGCAUAAGACAAAGUUUGUGAUUUUUGGCAAUGUGCUUCAUCAUGAUGAUUUGUAACUCUUGAUGUAACAAAAAACCAUAUAUAACCCUGUAUUAAACAUUCCUUCUCAUGGGACACUCUCUUUGUGAGGAUUGUGUGUUCUGGGCAGCUGUCUUCCCUUGGGCUUGAAUAAAACUUUCUUCCUUUUUUAAA
Long non-coding RNA from Felis catus (domestic cat), 2980 nucleotides. RefSeq lists it as uncharacterized. The record is from RefSeq and is a predicted model, not a curated record. The transcript has 3 exons. NCBI's taxonomy places the organism in Eukaryota, Metazoa, Chordata, Mammalia, Carnivora, Felidae.